CCUACGGGAGGCAGCAGUAGGGAAUAUUGCUCAAUGGGGGAAACCCUGAAGCAGCAACGCCGCGUGGAGGAUGAAGGUUUUCGGAUUGUAAACUCCUUUUGUUAGAGAAGAUAAUGACGGUAUCUAACGAAUAAGCACCGGCUAACUCCGUGCCAGCAGCCGCGGUAAUACGGAGGGUGCAAGCGUUACUCGGAAUCACUGGGCGUAAAGAGCGUGUAGGCGGGAUAGCAAGUCAGAUGUGAAAUCCUAUGGCGUAAACAUAGAACUGCAUUUGAAACUGUUAUUCUAGAGUAUGGGAGAGGUAGGGGGAAUUCUUGGUGUAGGGGUAGAAACGGUAGAGAACAAGAGGAAUACUCAUUGCGAAGGCGAGCUGAUAGAACAUAACUGACGCUGGUGCGCGAAAGCGUUGGGAGCAAACAGGGUUAGAUACCCGAGUAGUC
Molecule: ribosomal RNA, 440 nt
Filed under: uncultured bacterium
Lineage: Bacteria
Description: partial 16S ribosomal RNA
Rfam family: Bacterial small subunit ribosomal RNA
Source: RNAcentral